UACGAAGGGUGCAAACGUUGCUCGGAAUCAUUGGGCGUAAAGCGCACGUAGGCGGCUUGCCAAGUCGGACGUGAAAUCCCUCAGCUCAACUGAGGACGUGCAUCCGAAACUGGCGAGCUUGAGUACUGAAGAGGAUCGCGGAAUUCCCGGUGUAGAGGUGAAAUUCGUAGAUAUCGGGAGGAACACCAGUGGCGAAGGCGGCCUUCUGGACCAGUACUGACGCUCAUGCACGAAAGCGUGGGGAGCAAACAGG
RNAcentral lists this ribosomal RNA (253 nucleotides) under uncultured bacterium. Its description in RNAcentral is "partial 16S ribosomal RNA". It matches the Rfam family "Bacterial small subunit ribosomal RNA", at positions 524 to 776 of the family's 1533-position model. The record is from RNAcentral.